GAUGAACGCUGGCGGCGUGCCUAAUACAUGCAAGUCGAGCGAACAGACGAGGAGCUUGCUCCUCUGACGUUAGCGGCGGACGGGUGAGUAACACGUGGAUAACCUACCUAUAAGACUGGGAUAACUUCGGGAAACCGGAGCUAAUACCGGAUAAUAUAUUGAACCGCAUGGUUCAAUAGUGAAAGACGGUUUUGCUGUCACUUAUAGAUGGAUCCGCGCCGCAUUAGCUAGUUGGUAAGGUAACGGCUUACCAAGGCAACGAUGCGUAGCCGACCUGAGAGGGUGAUCGGCCACACUGGAACUGAGACACGGUCCAGACUCCUACGGAAGGCAGCAGUAGGGAAUCUUCCGCAAUGGGCGAAAGCUUGACGGAGCAACGCCGCGUGAGUGAUGAAGGUCUUCGGAUCGGAAAACUCUGUUAUUAGGGAAGAACAAAUGUGUAAGUAACUAUGCACGUCUUGACGGUACCUAAUCAGAAAGCCACGGCUAACUACGUG
RNAcentral lists this ribosomal RNA (497 nucleotides) under uncultured bacterium. RNAcentral's name for it is "partial 16S ribosomal RNA". It matches the Rfam family "Bacterial small subunit ribosomal RNA", at positions 28 to 507 of the family's 1533-position model. The record is from RNAcentral.